UGGGGAAUAUUGGACAAUGGGUGAGAGCCUGAUCCAGCCAUGCCGCGUGCAGGAAGAAGGCCUUCUGGGUUGUAAACUGCUUUUUGCCAGGGGAUAAAAUUUCCAUGCGUGGAGAAUUGAAGGUACCUGGUGAAUAAGCCACGGCUAACUACGUGCCAGCAGCCGCGGUAAUACGUAGGGACCAAGCGUUGUUCGGAUUUACUGGGCGUAAAGGGCGCGUAGGCGGCAAUUCAAGUCAUCUGUGAAAUCUCCGGGCUUAACUCGGAACGGUCAGAUGAUACUGCUUUGCUAGAGUGCAGAAGGGGCAAUCGGAAUUCUUGGUGUAGCGGUGAAAUGCGUAGAUAUCAAGAGGAACACCUGAGGUGAAGACGGGUUGCUGGGCUGACACUGACGCUGAGGCGCGAAAGCCAGGGGAGCAAACGGGAUUAGAUACCCAAGUAGUCCCUGAGCGGGCUGGCAAGGCGCAU
Molecule: ribosomal RNA, 467 nt
Filed under: uncultured bacterium
Lineage: Bacteria
Description: bacterial SSU rRNA
Rfam family: Bacterial small subunit ribosomal RNA
Source: RNAcentral